Physcomitrium patens is the source of this 687-nucleotide long non-coding RNA. RefSeq lists it as uncharacterized. The record is from RefSeq and is a predicted model, not a curated record. NCBI's taxonomy places the organism in Eukaryota, Viridiplantae, Streptophyta, Bryopsida, Funariales, Funariaceae.
GUGAAUGGAUGAAUAUCAGAUCCACCCACAUAGCUCUUUUCUUCAGUACCUUUUCCGGUUCAUUCUUCGAGCACCGUCGGAGUGCAGUACUUCCUAUCGCAAGAUUGUGUUCAACUACCGAUUCCACUGUCACAGAUAUCUCAGAUCUUCCAGAAGUAUGCGAAGCUGUUCACGUUCUGCUCAAUUAUCUUCUUUAUGGUUUCUCAAGUAGCGAUGGUUUGCGGGGCGAUUUGGUGAUUUCCAGGCCAGCAAGGUGUGGGGUCUAAUUAGGGGUUUAGCAACAAAGUUAUGGGUGUUGUGGACAUUCCAAUACUUUGCAAGAGAAACGGUGUUGAGCGUGAAUGGCGUUGCUGUCUCCUUUGGGUGUGAAAAAGUGCUGGUCGCACUGGUGGAUUCCUAAGUUAGCUGCAGCUGAAUCACCACUCUCAGAAGUUAUCUCCACGAGCUCAGUAGUAAGAAAGCACGCAGCACUCUUCCGGGCCAGGAAAUGUGAAGAAACUUAGGUAGCAGCAGCCAGCUCACUACCUAAUCGCAUUUUUGCUCAUGUGUGAUUGGUUCAUGAGCACAUAUUCUUUGUAUUCCAACAUAGUACAUUUUCAUUGCUAAAAAAAUAACAAGUUCUGUAUAAUAAGCAACCCUGACUUUUGAGUUAAAUUUUUUACAUCCAGACAUGUCUACUGCAAUUUC